RNAcentral lists this ribosomal RNA (253 nucleotides) under uncultured bacterium. Its description in RNAcentral is "partial 16S ribosomal RNA". It matches the Rfam family "Bacterial small subunit ribosomal RNA", at positions 524 to 776 of the family's 1533-position model. The record is from RNAcentral.
UACGUAGGGUGCAAGCGUUGUCCGGAAUUAUUGGGCGUAAAGGGCUCGUAGGCGGUCUGUCACGUCGGGAGUGAAAACUCAGGGCUUAACCCUGAGCCUGCUUCCGAUACGGGCAGACUAGAGGUAUGCAGGGGAGAACGGAAUUCCUGGUGUAGCGGUGAAAUGCGCAGAUAUCAGGAGGAACACCAAUGGCGAAGGCAGCUCGCUGGGACGGUACUGACGCUGAGGCGCGAAAGCGUGGGGAGCAAACAGG